Lolium perenne is the source of this 814-nucleotide long non-coding RNA. RefSeq lists it as uncharacterized. The record is from RefSeq and is a predicted model, not a curated record. Lineage: Eukaryota; Viridiplantae; Streptophyta; Magnoliopsida; Poales; Poaceae.
CAGCGCACCACCGAGCUCCCUCCUCCCCUUUUAAUCCCUCCAAAGUUCCAUCAAACCCCGCCGCCACCAGAGGCCCCCCGUUCUUCCCUCUUGCACGCAUAGCAGAGAGCCAAUCGAAAUUCAGUCAAGCACCGGCCCCCAGUUCGCCGUCGCUUCCGGCCACCACCCGCCAACCCGAGACCACCUCCAGCUUCUCCAUGAGACGCUGAAGCUCGUCGACAGACGAACGCAUCCAAUCGGCCACGAAAUCGACGUCCAUAUCCUCUCCGGCCACCACGCACCGGCGAGAUUUCCGACUGCCACCGACCUCGUCCGCCCCCGCCGAGGCGUUCAUCAUUUUCUUGGUGAGAUGGCGCCUCUUUUUCCCUCUCUUCUCUGUCAUGUUUGCUCGCUGUUUGGCAUAGCUUAAUUCUGAUGGAACUGUCGCCCUUUUCUGUCCGAGAUACACCGGAGUUCGCUCUCCUUGCCGUCGCCAUGGGCCUCGCUGAGCCGUGCUAGCACCGUCUCCUUCGACCCGUACGACUAAAGCAGCAACCUCUCGGUAUGAAGACAUGUUCGAUGAAGAUGACGUUAGCAAGGUUACCCUUCCGGCAUGGUCUAGGUAGGGUUAUGGACGUCGUCGUUUAUCUUCAGGACUCUUAGUCUAAUUUGUAUCUGGUCCGUACUCGAACGUAUUUGAUCUUCUAUAUGAUUUGGAUCUUUGUAUUGUAUAUUUGUAUCUUGACUCGUUGGAGUCGUUGUAAUAUAUGUUUUUUAUAGGCUCUAUUGUAAACAUGUUGUAAUGUAACCGCUCAUGGUAAUUCCUCUGGCAUCA